This 223-nucleotide long non-coding RNA is filed under the name Elaeis guineensis (African oil palm). RNAcentral describes it as "long non-coding RNA (EGUI_LNC039497)". The record is from RNAcentral. Lineage: Eukaryota; Viridiplantae; Streptophyta; Magnoliopsida; Arecales; Arecaceae.
CCAGGCUUAAGGAUGAUGUUGCAAGCCGCACAUGCAUCCGACCUCUAGGAGUCAUCCACACGAGCCCACGAAUCUCGAUCAGAAGUCCUGCUUCAGGAAAUCAGCACAGUAUGCUAGUACUGCGCUGAUUCUUCUUUGAUGGUUGAUCAGGUGCCUCCUUCUUCUUGAUUUGGACUCUUCCAAAGAUAGAAAGUAAAAGGAGAAGUUUUAGAUCUGAGACACU